This 446-nucleotide ribosomal RNA is filed under the name uncultured organism. Its description in RNAcentral is "partial 16S ribosomal RNA". It matches the Rfam family "Bacterial small subunit ribosomal RNA", at positions 332 to 796 of the family's 1533-position model. The record is from RNAcentral.
UACACUCCUACGGGAGGCAGCAGUGGGGAAUAUUGGACAAUGGGCGCAAGCCUGAUCCAGCCAUGCCGCGUGAGUGAUGAAGGCCCUAGGGUUGUAAAGCUCUUUCACCGGAGAAGAUAAUGACGGUAUCCGGAGAAGAAGCCCCGGCUAACUUCGUGCCAGCAGCCGCGGUAAUACGAAGGGGGCUAGCGUUGUUCGGAAUUACUGGGCGUAAAGCGCACGUAGGCGGAUCGAUCAGUCAGGGGUGAAAUCCCAGGGCUCAACCCUGGAACUGCCUUUGAUACUGUCGAUCUGGAGUAUGGAAGAGGUGAGUGGAAUUCCGAGUGUAGAGGUGAAAUUCGUAGAUAUUCGGAGGAACACCAGUGGCGAAGGCGGCUCACUGGUCCAUUACUGACGCUGAGGUGCGAAAGCGUGGGGAGCAAACAGGAUUAGAAACCCGGUAGUCC